GGGGAGGAGGCAGCAGCAUCCGCGCCGGCCGUCGGGCCGUGAGGAGGUGGCGGCGGCGGCGGUCCGUCGGCAGCGCUGUGGGGGAGGAGUUGGUCGUGGGAGGAGGAGGCGGCGGCGGUGGCAUCGGGCCGUGGGAGGAGGAGGCAGCGGGGGCGGCGUCGGGCUGGGGGUAGGAGGCAGCGGUGGCGUCGGCAGCGGGCUGGGGGGGGGGGGCGNNNNNNNNNNNNNNNNNNNNNNNNNNNNNNNNNNNNNNNNNNNNNNNNNNNNNNNNNNNNNNNNNNNNNNNNNNNNNNNNNNNNNNNNNNNNNNNNNNNGGGCUGGGGGGAGGAGGCGGCGGCAUCGUGCUGCAGCUCGGCCACGCCGUCGCUGCAUCCUAAUUCCAGGCACCACCACCACGCGCACGACCACGCAUACAGGGGAGCGCUGCCCGCGUCGUCGUCGUCCUCCUCCUCACCAGCGCCGCCCGUGCAUGGUGGUUGUUGCCUCGAGCCGCAAGGUGAAGAGCUGCCGCACGAUGGUGGUGGUCGAAAUUUCGAAUAAAUGAUUAUGCUGCUAAAAUUUCGAAUGAAUGAUUGAAAUAUACGUUGUUAUGCUAUCAAAAUUUUGUAAAAUUUGGCAUUUAUUCGAUAGAUUUUGUCAAAGUUUUGUGAAUAAAAUCUGAAAUUACGUGCUAUAAUUUCGAAUUUUAUUAAUUUAAGUUCAAAUUAUCAAAUUUGAAAUUAUAUAUAUAUCAAAUUAUCCUCAAAGUUAUCAAAUAAAAACCAAAUUUCGAAGUAUAUUAAUUUCAGUUCAAAUUUAUCAUAUUUAAAACUAUUCAUAUCAAACUAACCACAAAUCUAUCGAAUAAAUACUAAAUUUAUUUCCUAUAAGUUAACGUACAAUAGGUUCAAAAGAGCGGGCAAAUCGGUCAGGUCGCCCUUCAUUUAACAUCCUUCACGGAGCAGGUCAGUUAGCUGUUUCGUUUUUGAAAAAAAGGGUCAAAUCUGCAAAGCUGAAAAAGUAGGAUCAAAUUCGUAGUUUGCGUUCAAAGUAGGAUCAGAUUUGCAAUUGCCCCUAUAUUUUGUGUUUCAUGUAAGUGAUACUUCCUCCGUUACGUGUUAUAUGAUUUUUUUUAAGUAUGUUUAUAGAUUUAUUUGGAUGCUAAUAAAUUUAAAUACAUGUAUAAAAUAUAUGUAUAUGCAUAUAUAUUGAUCCAUGAAUAAAUCUGCACAUGGACAGAAAGUUUUAUGAUAUGCAAUGGCUAUAGUAUAGUAAUAGAGUAAUUUUGAUCAAAAUACACCCUAUAUUUAAAAUAGGGAGAGUAGUUUUGUCGUGGGGGCGGCGAUAGCACGCAGCAGAAAGAAUCUUCAGACGAUUCACAAAUUACUACUCCCUUGGUUUCAAAUUGUAAGACUUUUUAAUCUUGCACACAUCCAAUAAUCAAUAUACAUGGUAUAUAUGUAUCUCUAAUUUUUUUUCCUUUUGAGAAGGGUAUUUUACUCGGUCUGUAUGUUCAACCGAAUAUAUAGCAUCUAUAUAAAUCUAAGUCUAUACUACUAUAAACAUUGUUACCACCAAGUCCUUGUUUUUUUUUAUCUAUACUCUAUUUUUAAAGAAAAAUAAAUAGUGGAUUCUAUAUAUAUAUAUAUAUACCGUUUUUACUGACUCUACUUAUUAUGAGAAGAAAAAAUCAUAAGAUUAAUAGACACAUAUGUCAAUAAUAUAUAUAUAUAUAACAAUUAAAAUACAACAUAUAAAAAAAUAAUAUUAACAAUACAUUAUGAUAAUUUUUUUUAAAAUAAACUAAGUGAACUAGAGGGAGCAGUAAGUAAGUAAGUUCUUUAAAGACCAUAUUGGUAGCUCAACUGGACGAAGCGUGGCGUAAGACCCAAUCAAAAUGGGCUGCGACCCGAUGAUCGCUCGACGAAAUCACGAAAAACAGAAAAAGAAGCUGAGCGAGUGGGUUGGGCCACUUGAACCCACCGAUGGGCUCCGGUCCAAGGGUUUGUAUCCUCUGCCAUUUUAUACUAGAACAUUAUGAUGUCAUUUGAUAAAUCUCAGCCGUCCGUUUUAAGAUAGCCGGCUAUGAAUUAGUAUGCUACAGUAUUAUGUCACAGUGCAAAAUAAUAAAUAUAUUAUUGUUUUACUGCUACAGUACCCUGCCAUUCUCUCUUCUUUCACUGUGCUAGCCUGACAUUGAGCAAUGGCAGAUUGGCAGGUGAUCCGGAUCCCCGGUCCAAAUAAGCUGUCGGUCGCCACAAGGAUGGCCUGUUGGAAAGAAAUCUAUCGAUCAGUUAGAUCGGGCCACCACUACACAGCUGGCCGAAAUUCACGGCCCACAUUUUGGCCCACUAUUGCAAUUUGCACGGCAGCGGCCCGAGGAUGGUGGACGACGGCGGCGCCGCCGAGCAGCGGAAACACCUAACACCACCAGUGUUUUUUUCGGGGAAUUAGCACCCUUAUAUUUUUACUUAUUAUACUUGUAACCUAAAAUUUAUAAUUUGAAUAUUAAGUUUUGAGUUAGUUUUUUAUUCAUCAUAGUCUAUUUUACAAAAUUUAUUUUUAUGUCACUAAUAACAUGUAUAUAAAAGUUUUGUCCAUGAAUUAUUUUUUAUUGUCAAUAAACUACAUCACUUGUUUGGAAAUAGAUAUCAGAACAACCAGCAAUGUCAUCAAUGCAUCAAGAUUAUUAGGACUCAAGAUCAAAUGGAUGGGUGCAGCCGUUUUUAAUAUGUGACUAAACAGAGUUUCGGCACGGAUUUGCUUGGAACUCUGUUUAGUAUGUGUGCAGCCGUUUUUAAUGCCUCAAUCCAUAAUUUAUUUGAUAAGUUGGAGUGACUAAGCAUGCUCCGCACCAUCUCCAUGAGUGUGCGGUUGCGUCUUUCUGCCACUCCAUUUUGUUGAGGCUCCCCAGGCAUGGAAUAUUGUGCAAUAAUCCCAUGAAUCUGAAGAUAUUGAGCAAA
This 2942-nucleotide long non-coding RNA is filed under the name Oryza brachyantha (malo sina). RNAcentral's name for it is "long non-coding RNA (OBRA_LNC001920)". Lineage: Eukaryota; Viridiplantae; Streptophyta; Magnoliopsida; Poales; Poaceae. The record is from RNAcentral.